AAUCGUGUGGCUGGUUUGUGUGACCAGGUGGUUCAUCACACCUGCCUGUCCAGUACCCACAGCAGUGUUUCAUACCGAUGCUGGCUUUCGUGUGCCCUCGGGCCUGUCACUGCACUCAGGGGAAUGAGGUGUAAGCUUUACCUUCCUAAAGGGUGAGUAUAGCAACUCUUAGCAGCUUGUAUGUGUGUGUGAGGCUGAAUGAGCGUACAGACCUGAAAGAGUAUGAAGUGGAAAUAUGAGAGGAAUGCAAACCCAGCAGCUGUCUGAGCUGGAGCCAGCUGUGCCAUGCCACUGGGCAGAGAUGAAGGGAACAGUCUCCCACCUCUCACUGCAUCCUCUGGGCAAGGAUGCUGACCGCAUUGUGCUAGGGCUCCAGGCACCUUCCACCUUCCCUGUGACAUCCAUGCAGGAUUAUUAAUUCUGUUGGGUAAAGGCUGCCACUUACUAACAGCAGCUGUUCGCACGCUCAUGCAAUUAGCAGCUCUUCUGUGUUUCAGGAAGACAGUGCAUUUGAACAUUUUGAGGUGGGAUUCAUCUCAUCUAAUUUUAAGCACCCAAAAGAAGGGCUUUCCAUCAAAGCCAUCUGGCAAAACUGUCUUCACAGAGAGAGCCAGGCAAUUCCCCACGGUGAUUCACUUCACCUACCUCAGGCACUAUUCUUAGGAUGUGGUGAAUCACACUCUGGAGUCACUCCAUUGACUGGAGAGGGAGACCGCGCAAAUGGUUUUUGCUAGACACGCAACUUUAAGGUGGCUAAAGUUAGAUGAACUGUCUCUUCCCUGCUGAUGGGCAGUUUCCUUUUAAUCUUUCCAGUACCAGUGGUGAUAUCUUCUGCUCUUAGUCAUAAUGAUAAGGGGCAAUUAAUUUGGGGCUGGAAGUUCAGUUGGUUUAUAGAAUUCCGGUCUUUCAUAAUAAUUGUAAAGGUGGCAAACAAGUUCAAAAAGAUGCUGGGCCAUAUCUUCCUUGGAGCUGUAAUGCUGGACUCCAUGCAGAGCAAUGUGGAUAAGCAAUGCCAGGAUACUGUCAGCUGCUUUGUCUGCUCCAGGGCAAAACCUUGCACUGCCUCAGGCCUGGCUUACUGGUACCUUCCAAUGGCCUGUUAUGAGAAAGUCACAGACCUGUCUUUUGGGGAAUAAUUUGGUCUCUCACUAGCCAUGUGGUCAGCUGAGAAGACAUGGAUGAAGAAGAUGCUGCUGUUUUGUCCAAGUGAGAUCAGUUUGUUAGUCACACCUGUAUUUCCUUUCUUACCCAGAGGAAACUUAGGGACCUUGACUUUCUUUCCUUUCAGCUGAUCCCUGGCCAAGAACACAGGGUCAGAUACUGUGACAGUAAAACUAAGAUAGAAAAGACUUCAGUCAAAUUACCUCCCGGUCACACUGAGCUCUACCACAGAACAAGAGAGCUUUGUGAAAUUCCCUAUGCAUCUACUACACGGAAAAUUCAAGAAGGUGGCAGGCCCUACGAUAUUUUUUGGUACAGGAGUAUAUGCAUAACUAGCCCAGUUAAACCAAACCUUUCAGUGGAGAAUGCUUUACUCAGAAGGGCUUGCAGACUGCAUGGGGAUUUUCCCUGUCCAGUGAAAUGGAAGAUCUGGCCUUGCAUAGCCUCAGUGGCUAGAGCAGAUGCAGUGACAAGUCAAAGGCAAGAACAACAUUUUGGGGAGAAGCUUCAGGAGACUUGAGAUGAGAGAAAGCUGUUAUGCAAACAGCUGUUGCUCUACUGAUAACAGGCAAUGUAAACAAGAAAGCCAUGGACUGUCAAGCAACCCAUGAGCACCAGGAGUCCUCAGGAUAUGCUGGCUGUGGAAAUUCACAUCUCAGUCUAUUGCCAUAUCAAACCUGAAUCUGUGAGAAAGUCCCUGACCCAAAGAAGAUAAGUUCAUAAAUUGGAUUUCAUGACUGAUCUAAUACAAUUUUUGGGAAAAAAAAUCCAUUCAGAAUUCCAAUUCCACAAGAAGAUGUGAGACCCACUUUCAGACUCUGGGGUGUACAGUACCAUAGCUACACAUACUAAAAUUACAUUAAGUGUUUAUCAAUAUAAACAAAUAAGGGGAUAUUCUUACUGUGUUCUUGUGACCUUUUGCUUCAAAGGUCUGUAGAGCAUAAGACACCAGACAGCCUGCUUAAUCUGAAAGUCCAGGGAGAACCAACACUUCCUCAUGAACAGUUUGGAGAUUUUUAAAGGCCUCUCUCAGAUGUUCAGCAGAAUGCUGUGGAGCAAAGCUUGAAGCAAUCCCAUGCAGCCUGAGAAGUGUGACACACAGAGGGGCAAAAGAGAAAGAACCCAGCAAAAUCUGCAUUUGUCCUGCCUACCAUGUGAGCAGCAGCCAUAAGACGGAACCUAGACCAGCCUCAAAAUCAUGACAUGGAAAUUCCAUGAACCCCAAGAAAUUAAAUGGCUCCUUCUCGUGUGCUUUUCCUCUCUUGUUCUUUGUUCAGUACUAGGAAACUUUUGUCAGGAAAAUAAACUAAUAAAAACCUCAUUGCUUGUUCUUCUACUCCAUUAAAGUACUAGUUUUCCACCUCCAAAGCCGGACCUCAGGGCUUUUUUGGUUCUGACCCUCGGUCUUCAACUGUAAUUCCUGUAGCAAAUUUCAGACAUUAGAACGAGCCACAUUAUUCAAUUGAUGGGCUUUGUCACCCAUUUUCCCAAACAGCUUUUACAGUAACUGGUUUUACUUGCAUAGUAAAAAUCUAAAAUAAAAGGUUGCAUUUAUAGCUCAUUGCAUCACCAACCACAGCAGCAGGCCCCAUUAACAACUACCUAGCUCAGAGAGAGCUGCAGCCCCGAAUGCAAAUCAGUUAAAUGAGAAGGACUGGAACCUAAUAGUAGAUAGAAUUAUUUGACAUUGUUGAGGUCACAAUUGCCUGUCUGUUUCUGAAAGACACUGCUAUCAAAUUUGAAAGAUGUAAAAGGUCAAGUGUAUAAUUUUAGGAAAUACAAGGUUAAGGGGAGAACAAGAGCAGGUGAUUUAGCUGAGUCCUCCUUAGGUUAUGAUUUUCAUAAUUAUGCUACUAUAAACUCACAGAACAGAUGAGAAAGAACAAUACCUGUUUGUUUCCCUGUUACAUCUGCCUCCCUCUACUGCAUAAACUCCGCAGGCUGUAAUUCAGCUUCAAGUAAGGGAAAUUGGCAUGCUUCUGG
This is a long non-coding RNA of Falco peregrinus (peregrine falcon), 3144 nucleotides long. RefSeq lists it as uncharacterized. The record is from RefSeq and is a predicted model, not a curated record. NCBI's taxonomy places the organism in Eukaryota, Metazoa, Chordata, Aves, Falconiformes, Falconidae. The transcript is spliced from 5 exons.